RNAcentral lists this ribosomal RNA (1134 nucleotides) under uncultured fungus. RNAcentral describes it as "eukaryotic LSU rRNA". The stretch from base 502 to 1134 matches the Rfam family "Eukaryotic large subunit ribosomal RNA", at positions 1 to 616 of the family's 3401-position model. The record is from RNAcentral. Lineage: Eukaryota; Fungi.
UUAUUGAACAAAGGCUUUUGGCUGGAUGUUGUUGUGCUGGCCCUUUGGUGCAAUGUGCACACUUCCCCCUCCAGUCAUUUGUUUCUUCUGUUCCACCUGUGCACUGCCUGUAGAUACAACUCUGUGUCUAUGAUAAAUGCCUACACACACAAUUGUAUUAGUUGGCAUUAUUACAUGUAUAAAAAAUACAACUUUCAACAAUGGAUCUCUUGGCUCUCGCAUCGAUGAAGAACACAGCGAAAUGUGAUAAGUAAUGUGAAUUGCAGAAUCCAGUGAAUCAUCGAAUCUUUGAACGCAUCUUGCGCUCCUUGGCAUUCUGAGGAGCAUGCCUGUUUGAGUGUCAUUAAACUAUCAAAACUCUUUUCACGAGUGUUUUGGACUUUGGGAGUACUUCUGCUGCUCUGUCUGAGCCAGCUCUCCUCAAAAGCAAUUAGUUGGAGAAGACCCAUCAGUGUGAUAAAUCUUUUACACUGGCCUUCUCCUCUUAAUAACUACAUUAUUUGACCUCAAAUCAGGUAGGAUUACCCGCUGAACUUAAGCAUAUCAAUAAGCGGAGGAAAAGAAACUAACAAGGAUUCCCCUAGUAACUGCGAGUGAAGCGGGAAAAGCUCAAAUUUAAAAUCUGGCAGUCUCCUUUUUCUUUUUUGGCUGUCCGAGUUGUAAUCUAGAGAAGUGCUUACCUGCGCUGGACCAUGUAUAAGUCUCCUGGAAUGGAGCGUCACAGAGGGUGAGAAUCCCGUCUUUGACAUGGACUGCCAGUGCGUUGUGGUGCGCUCUCAAAGAGUCGAGUUGUUUGGGAAUGCAGCUCUAAAUGGGUGGUAAACUCCAUCUAAAGCUAAAUAUUGGCGAGAGACCGAUAGCGAACAAGUACCGUGAGGGAAAGAUGAAAAGGACUUUGGAAAGAGAGUUAAACAGUAUGUGAAAUUGUUGAAAGGGAAACGCUUGAAGUCAGUUAUGUUGGCUAGGGAUCAGCCUAGUUUUCUGGGUGAAUUUCCUAGUUUGACAGGCCAACAUCAGUUCUGACUGCUGGAAAAGAGCAGAGGGAAUGUGGCACCUUUGGGUGUGUUAUAGCCUUUUGUCAUAUGUGGCAGUUGGGACUGAAGGGAUGCAGCAUGCCGUGAGGCUUGGUUUCGA